Molecule: ribosomal RNA, 253 nt
Filed under: uncultured bacterium
Lineage: Bacteria
Description: partial 16S ribosomal RNA
Rfam family: Bacterial small subunit ribosomal RNA
Source: RNAcentral
UACGUAUGGUGCGAACGUUGUUCGGAAUCACUGGGCAUAAAGAGCACGUAGGCGGUUAAGCAAGUCCAUUGUGAAAUCCCCCGGCCUAACCGGGGAACUGCAUUGGAUACUACUUGACUUGAGUGCAGGAGGGGAGAGUGGAAUUCCAGGUGGAGCGGUGAAAUGCGUAGAUAUCAGGAGGAACACCGAUGGCGAAGGCAGGUCUCUGGGCAUUAACUGACGCUGAGGAGCGAAAGCAUGGGGAGCGAACAGG